This is a long non-coding RNA of Ostrea edulis (European flat oyster), 1841 nucleotides long. RefSeq lists it as uncharacterized. The record is from RefSeq and is a predicted model, not a curated record. Lineage: Eukaryota; Metazoa; Mollusca; Bivalvia; Ostreida; Ostreidae. The transcript is spliced from 3 exons.
GGAAAUGUGAGUGGUAGUAUGGUGGUAUUAAUGGAAAUGUGCGUGGUAGUAUGAUGGUGAUACAAUGUACAUGCAAACUAAUAACGGUAGAUCUACCUCUUUCGUUGAUAUUGAUAUGUAAAACUAUCAAUUCUCUGACCUGUAUAGGUAGUGGUGUGAUUGGUGUAAAAACAAAAACAAAAAACCGGUGUUAAAACACAUGUGUUAGCAUCCGAUGUGCCAUUAGCUGUGUGUAAAUGGUGUUUAUGGAAAUGUGAAUGGUGGUACGUGGUGUAUAAAUGGUGGUAUGUGGUGUUAAUGAAAAUAAGGGUUGUGGUAUGUGGUGUUAACGAACGUGUAGGUAGAGUGUGUGCGAUGUUAACGAAAGUAUGAAUGGUAGUAGUUGGCUGGUUAUUUCACAAUUUUCACCCUUAUUAUACACCACUUGUGGAUGAAGUACUAUGAUUAAUGGUUAUUACCCCCUAGUAGCGAGGGCUCUUUAGCGUGCAAACGCCUACCGCCAUAGGGCCUUCCGAAAGACCCGUAAAUGCAGUGCAUUUGGAGGGCCAAUCACUACCAAUGUUUACGUCUUAGGUUGGCGAUGGCAUGAGGAGGAUUCGAAUUCAUGAGCUUCCGGUUAGGAAGCAAACGCUCUACCAUUGAGCAAUGCGACCGGUAAUUGCGUGGUGGUGGUGGUGGUGGAAGUAUAUAAAGAACCUAAAAGCCAGGAAUUAUUCGUUUACUUGCAUGACAAUCUGAGCAGUGUUUAUAUACUUCCACCUGAAGUGUGUCACAGUCUGUAUAAUGGAAUGAUAACGUGUUGUAAAGUUCUAACGAGAUACAAAUGGAGUUUAUCAUUUUGGUUCGUGGAUUUAUCAGAAUAAAGAGAAUCUUAUAUUUUCGGAAGCAAUCAACAGUUGUGAUCGAGAAGAGAGAAGGAGAAAAUUUCAAGUGUGAGAUUGUAUUUGAUGAGACUGAUAUGACAAUGGUACCAGAGCCAACUGUCAAACAGCACUCCAGCCAGCAACAUUUUCCUCUUGUAUUUUUUGACUUGGAAUCAACAGGAUUAACUAGAGAUUCUCAUAUUACACAGCUGUCGUGUGUGGUGAAGAAAAAUGUUCCACCUAUACCUUUCCAAAAAUACCUAUCACAGUAAAAGCCUCAGAAAUCACAGGAAUCGAAAUUGUCAAUGGAAAUAUGUUUAACAAAAAUAUAGAAGUCAAGCCUUUCAGCAGGAAUGGAUGCUCUGCUUAAUUUUGUUUCAAAAUUUUAAACUAAAGUAAUUUUGCAUUUACAAUGGCAGUGUAUGAAUGUCAACAAUAUACAGAAUGUUUAUUGUAUACUAUACCCAAUUUAACAUUUUCUGUUUAUGAGAGAGAGAGAGAGAGAGAGAGAGAGAGAGAGAGAGAGAGAGAGAGAGAGAGUUGCAAGAAUUGGAAAGUAACUGCAAAAAUCAUGUGCAAAUUGCAUCAGUAUUGAUGUGAACGGUGGUGAAUUUGUUCUCUGAAUUUUGAUACAUUUAAUGUACCAAAUGAAAUUAUCCUAAUAAAUUUCCAUUUCCAUUUCAAAUGAAAAUGAUUAAAUUUCCACACAAUGUGGGUUUUUUUUUAUUCAUUAGAAUACAUCAAAGUAAGUUAUAAUUAAAAAUAAGUUUAAAAAGAACUGUAUUUUAGUUUUAAGAAAAAAUGAUGGAGAAAAUUGGAAUUAGACUGCUUGAAAACUCUAGUUCACUAGUUCACUAGUUCGCUAGUAUGUGAUUGUUGCUUUAAGAAAGAUUUCAAAGCAUCAUAGCAAAUUAUAACUAAUAUUUUGCUUAUAACACUAAUAAAUUUUGAUAUUGUAAAUAUAGUCGCUUUAAAUGA